AUUGAACGCUGGCGGCAGGCUUAACACAUGCAAGUCGAGCGGAGAGAGGUAGCUUGCUACUGAUCUUAGCGGCGGACGGGUGAGUAAUGCUUAGGAAUCUGCCUAUUAGUGGGGGACAACAUUUCGAAAGGAAUGCUAAUACCGCAUACGUCCUAAGGGAGAAAGCAGGGGAUCUUCGGACCUUGCGCUAAUAGAUGAGCCUAAGUCGGAUUAGCUAGUUGGUGGGGUAAAGGCCUACCAAGGCGACGAUCUGUAGCGGGUCUGAGAGGAUGGUCCGCCACACUGGGACUGAGACACGGCCCAGACUCCUACGGGAGGCAGCAGUGGGGAAUAUUGGACAAUGGGCGCAAGCCUGAUCCAGCCAUGCCGCGUGUGUGAAGAAGGCCUUAUGGUUGUAAAGCACUUUAAGCGAGGAGGAGGCUACUUUAGAUAAUACCUAGAGAUAGUGGACGUUACUCGCAGAAUAAGCACCGGCUAACUCUGUGCCAGCCGCCGCAGUAA
This 501-nucleotide ribosomal RNA is filed under the name uncultured bacterium. RNAcentral's name for it is "partial 16S ribosomal RNA". It matches the Rfam family "Bacterial small subunit ribosomal RNA", at positions 30 to 523 of the family's 1533-position model. The record is from RNAcentral.